Non-coding RNA from Schistosoma rodhaini, 49 nucleotides. Lineage: Eukaryota; Metazoa; Platyhelminthes; Trematoda; Strigeidida; Schistosomatidae. The record is from Rfam.
GCACUGCUGAGGAGUCCCAUAAUAGGACGAAACAAUCGUCAAGCCGUGC